Non-coding RNA from Malus domestica (apple), 2977 nucleotides. The record is from RefSeq and is a predicted model, not a curated record. Lineage: Eukaryota; Viridiplantae; Streptophyta; Magnoliopsida; Rosales; Rosaceae.
UACUAGAAAAACCAACCUUCCUUUGAAACCUAUAAAACCUUCAUCUUCUUCAAUGGCUGCCAAUACUUUCAUCACCAAGUUGGUCGAGGAAUGCACUAAAUGCCAAAGCAUCACUAAUCGAAACACUAUCAAAACCAUCUGAUUUGAGGAUGAGCCAAAUGCUUCCCACUAAACCCUCGGUCCAUUGUUCAAAGACGAUGUUCCAGAAGUGAUCAUCGAAAUGCUCAAGGAGCAUUGCUUGAAACCCUUAUUCCAAGGGUAUGAUUGGUCGAAAUGGGAAUUGGCCAAACCCCAAGGCGUUUGGCCUUCGAUCACUGCGGCCUAGGUUGCCUGGUUCACUCAGAUGGAGCCACAUUUCGGCGACGAAUGGAAAGCUCUAGGCAUUUUUUAUGUCAUUAAACUCUCGACCAUCGAGAUGAGCUUAGAUCGAGAGCUCGUGAUGGCUGCUUUGAGCUUCUGGUGCUCGGCCACCAAUACGAUGGUUCUCCCCCUCGGCCCCUUGGCCCAACAGUGAUGGACAUCACAACCAUACUUGGCACCUCUCCUACCGGCCUCCCAGUCGACAAGUCUCUCUCCGGGUAUCAAUUUGACCUGGACCUGAAAACCAUUUUCGAGGAGCAUGCCAUUGAAUCCCUGACAAAGGAAAACCAAAAGCUGUCGAAGGAAGAUGCGUAUAAACUACAUAAAAAAUUCUUCAACUAUAACACCCUAAUCACUCACUUCACUGGCUCGAGAGGGGAAAAUCUUAAAAAGGGUGAACACGGGGCCUUCUUAUUCUACUGGUACAACAAAUAUAUAUAUUGUGCCAAGUCAAAUAAAUGCUUGGCUGAGAAUAUGCCUAUUGCCGAAGCCUUGGCUAGCGGUCAUGUCCUGGCCCUUAGUCCGGCCGUUCUUGCUAACCUCACCAAAACGGCCCGUUCUGGGUUUUUCAGCUCUGGUUGCAGGUCUAUUUCUCUGCGUUGCGGCCAGACCUUGCAAGUUUCAACUCUUCCGAAGCCAUAGGCCUUGAGCUGGCCUCACGACCCAUUCUUUCCCACUUGGCCAAAGAGAUCUUCAAAUAUUUCUUUGGCCUAAAAGACCUGUCGGACGACGAAUUCCAUAUUUGCCAUCGCCGAGCGUACCCCCCUUCCAUCAUCCUUCAACAUUGGCAUGGAAAGAUGUCGACGAAGCUGAUCUCCAAAAUUUCUAGGGGUCAUUUAUCAUCACUCGCAACCUGCCCUAUGGUUGCAAGGCUCGACGAGGAAGCUGGGAAGUUUAUCACCCAAACUUCUUGGCUCGUCAACUGGGUUUUCUUCAAGGAUGCCAUAUGCCAUUCCUUACUUCUCUUUCCCUCUUGAGCCGAGAACGCUUCUUCGGCUCUUCAGAGAGGGAGUGUGAAGUAGCUAAGAAGGAUUUCAAGGAGUGGUGUGCCAAAUUCAGUCUUCGACUGAAAACUCCAGAAUCCCGUUAUGCUAGCAUCUUUGCCGAUUGGUGGGAUACCUAUACUAAGGAUUUCUUCAGAACUUCGGCUGAGGAAAUCUCACAAAAGCUUUUUGGCGACGACCCCAAAAAAACUCUCGCCCUAAAAUCCAGAGAAAUGGCCCAAGGUGAUUGGGAUGGCCACGGCUAAGAAAAAACUUACCACUCCCAUGAGGAAAACUGCAACUGUCGCACUAACCCCAUCAAGCAAACGAUUUCGUCCGAAUGCCGAGACGGUUGAUGAAGCUCCCCGGGCGAGAAAAUGUGUUAAGAAAUUGGCAAAGAAAGGGGAACAAGAGAUCCAUGUUAUCUUUAGCCAAACCAUGGGAGCAACUACUCCCAGUGCCUUUCUCAUUUCCCCUGCUGUCAAGGUCUCGGCCAUGGUGUAGGGAGACUUAGUGAUUGAGCUGGUCACCAAUCCGGCUGUCGAAUAGCCUACAACUUCAACACUGGCCGCUGCUCACGUCGAAGUCAGCCUGGCGGUUGCUACCCCGAAGAGAGCAACUUUUGUAGCAAAAAAAAAUCUCCCCCCGAAUCCAAAAAAAGCUUCAACAAUCAUCCUAGAAUAAGAGGAGGAUGAAAGUGAAGGGCCCCUACUGGUAAAACAUCCUCAACCAGCCGAAUUGCCGACUAUCACUUCUCAACUGGCAGUCGAGGCGGUGGAUCAAGCCGAUGCUCCCACAGCUGAAGCAGGUUUGGGUUAUGAAACACCACUCCAUGUCGAGCCAGAAGCAACAGCCGAGAUGCCGAUUCAUCUCUAGGACCAGAAUCUCAAUAUCCCUCCCCAGGAUGUUACUUUAACCUUUCUUCAUGGGAAGUCGAGCUCGACGCUCUCCUCUUGAGUACUUCUGGAGUAGCCGGGCUUUCUGUUGCGUCGACCGAGCCUUCAGUAAUCGCGGUCGAAUCCAAUACCUUCGUCAAGUUUCAGGAACUUCUAUCCCUUUUAGCCUCACAAGUCCUUUAAUGUAAAGGCAUCGACUCUGUAGAAUAAUGCUUGAACGAUCUUGUAGCCGAUGGCUUGUUGAGCACCGAAAGUGUCGUCCACUUAUCCAAUAUCCUGGAGCGGACCCGACAAUACUUCGCCACUUUUGAAAGGGCUCUCCGAGCUGAGGAUAACCUUAAGUCUAUAAAGGCAGCUCAUGAUGCUAGCCAACCGAAGGUUGAAGCUAUAAAAGCAAAGAAGACUCGACUGGUUGACCUUGAUCGUCAGAUCGCCAAACUCCAGCGUCAAAGGUCGAUCGUCGCUUCAGAGCUCGAGAAAGAUUUUGAGGCGAAUAAGUCCAUCCUGACAGACCACAUAGCCAACUCAAAGCGGAUACAACAACUGCAGCUUGAUAAAAGAACAAGACAAACCGAAGUUACAAUGGGUGAAGUAAGGUGGUUGGAACUGAAAGCCGCUCUUAAAGCCUUCCUUCCUUCGACCCCUUAGGAUUUUGGCCUUAUUAACCAACUGUUGGAUUCUUUUUGUAAUUCUUGUUUGUAAGCCUUUUUGCAAAAUUAAUGAAACAAAACUUUUAUU